This is a long non-coding RNA of Saccostrea echinata, 213 nucleotides long. RefSeq lists it as uncharacterized. The transcript has 2 exons. The record is from RefSeq and is a predicted model, not a curated record. Lineage: Eukaryota; Metazoa; Mollusca; Bivalvia; Ostreida; Ostreidae.
UGUGUUUGUGAAACACUAUACGCCCGGCAGCAACAAAGUUCGGAAAAGCUAUUUUUAGCAUAUAGGUCACAGUCAAGGUCAUUGACCUUGGUGUCAUUUGAAAGAGUUUAAUUAGUGGAGUAUGCAUACUAAAUAUGAAGUCUCUAUCUCUCAUGGUUCAAAAGUUAUGGCGAAGAUUAAAGUUGACAGACAAACAGACAGAUAGACAGACAG